Long non-coding RNA from Triticum dicoccoides, 2171 nucleotides. RefSeq lists it as uncharacterized. NCBI's taxonomy places the organism in Eukaryota, Viridiplantae, Streptophyta, Magnoliopsida, Poales, Poaceae. The transcript is spliced from 3 exons. The record is from RefSeq and is a predicted model, not a curated record.
UCUAAUCCAUCCAGCCCCGACCACACUAGCCUCAACCCACUCCCCGCGCGGCGGCACCAACCAAAGCCCCGCCGGCGCCGGCCUGCCCACCGCCGCCUGCAUCCCGCCUAACGCCACCCCCAGCGAGCCACCACCCCUCCCUGUCCCGCACCCAAAAGCCCCAGCGACGCGCGCCGCCGCGGCGCCGCCCACCACCAGUAUCCCGCGCUGCUGUCGCCGACCACUAGGACCUCUUGCCGCCGCCCACCACCACCUGGAUGCCCCCCUCUGCGCACGGAUCCGGUCUUGCCCGAGCUCCCCCUGGGACGGAUGAACACAGGGCAGAGGCACCUGUGCUGGGAGGAGCAGAAUAGGGGCGCCGACACCAGGAAUAGCAAGUCGUGCCUCACCCGGCCACCUCCUCGCUUCUCCCUCCGCUGGAGCGUGCCGACGCCCCGUAUCCCACCGCCGGUGCCGCUCCUCAACUCUGGCGACGCCAAGAGCCUGCACCACCUCGGGUCUUUACCCACGCAGCCAGUGGCGGCUUCCUCUUCCUUCAGCCGCUCGCGCUCCUCCGUGGAGGACUCCCGUUGUCGCCUCUGCAACCCCUGCCUAAGGAUCCAUCGCACGUGACCUUCUCUGGUGUGUCUGAUCGACCUUCCCAUCGUCUCUUGCUUGAACGUCUGAAUUGCUGCUGCUCCUCCAUGUAAAUCUGCUGCUAGAUGAAGACCAUGUAAAUCUGAACAUUCUAAAUCCGCUGCACUACUAGGGUUGCUCUGUGUUGUGCCCUUUUGUUGGGUGAAGCUAUUCUUAUCUGCUAGCUUUGACAUAGGCUGCUACAUCAUUUGGAGCUUGGAAUCGAUUUCAUCAUCAGGUUAAAAAAAGAGUUUUUGAUGGCUCAGUUCAACAUAUUCACUUGCACUGGAAAUACAUGGGACUAGUGAUUUGUGGAAUUUGAGCUACAGAGAAUUGAGGUACUGCUUUGUUUCUGGGAUGAUUGCGCACCUUUACUGAAAACUCGACCUGCAUUACAAAAACCCCCACACGCCGCCGCCCCAUCCGCCGUCGCGACAAGCAUCCCUGGGAUUGCCACGACCUCGCACAUGCCAUGGGUGUGGCCCUAGAUGAGAUGCAGCUCCCCUUCGCCCGGCUCCAUCUCCCCACCAUUGUCAUGACACAUGAGUUCAGAUGUUAACUAGAAUGCUAGAGACGGAAUGCUAGAGACGGAUUUCUAGGAGCAACAACAGGGGCACCGCUGGAUGGCAGCAGCGUUCAUGCAGCCACAGCAGAGCACUAGGGAGUUGCAAAAAUCCAGAUCCUGGGUACUCCAUGUGGCCCGUUGCAGUCCGGAUUGGGGUGCAGGCGCCGUCCAAGUCCCAAUUCCCCGAUGAUGACCCAACACCAUCUCAGUCCAGCCCCGUAGCGCCAGGGAGGUCGAGGCCAUCGCGAGCAGAAGUCCCCAGCAGAAGGUGAGGGUGACAAACUUUGUCUUAUGUAUUUGUUGUGUCUCUCCUUUUUCUACCAGUCAGUUCGGUGACAUCUACCAGGAAGACUACUUCGUGAACCACAUGAAGAGUGAUGUGCAGGGGAAACAAGAAUUACGACCCCUCCAUCCCAUGCGAGCAGUAUGAAAGACAGGGAAGUUCAUCCUGGCAGACUAUGUGGCUCAGUGUGUAUGUUAAAUGAAGGAAAAAGAAAUAGCAGGUGUCCAGCAGCAUCAGUGUGUGGCUCCCCUAUAAUUCUUCUCUCUGUGUGUGUGCACACGCGCUGCACACGAGGAUAAGUACGAGGAAAAAUGGAGGCGUCCGGGCCAGGACCUGGCGGAGUAGAUUGGCCAGAGUAGUCGGGCAUGGCCAUGGCAUCCGACCGCAGACGGCGACGAAUCCGCAACGUUGUAGCUUGCUGCAGUCGGGUGCGUGCAUUCCGUUGGUGUGUCGCGUGAGUGGUCAGUGUGUGCGUUGUGCUAGUAGUAUGUCCCGUGAGUGGUGAGUGUGUGCGAUGUGCUAGUAGUAUGUGCUGAUGUGCAGGGUGCAUGCAUGUAUGAGUGCACAUGCGUGUUGUCACACACGAACUCAAAAAUGUUUCAGAUUUUGUAGCCAACUCGUGUGCACCACAGCUGUUCGUGUUUAUGACCCAAAAGGAGAAUAUUACAUUUAUACUAAGCAAGAAAAAAAUACAGAGACAUUUUAUCA